CACUUCUAAGGAAGGCAGCAGGCGCGCAAAUUACCCAAUCCUGACUCAGGGAGGUAGUGACAAGAAAUAACAAUAAACCGGCUUAUGCCGGUUUAAUUGGAAUGAGUACAAUUUAAACAUCUUAACGAGGAACAAUUGGAGGGCAAGUCUGGUGCCAGCAGCCGCGGUAAUUCCAGCUCCAAUAGCGUAUACUAAAGUUGUUGCAGUUAAAAAGCUCGUAGUUGGAUUUCUGUGGGGACGGAGCGGCCGGCCGCAACACGCGGUUCGAGCUAGCGCUUUCCCUACAUCCUGCCGCGAACCGUGCUACCAUUAGUUUGGUGGCGCCGGGGAUCGGCUCGAUUACUUUGAGAAAAAUAGAGUGUUCAAAGCAGGCCACACGCCUUGAAUAAGUUAGCAUGGAAUAAUAACUAAGGACUUCGGUUCUAUUUUGUUGGUGUUCGGGACUGAAGUAAUGAUUGAUAGGGACAGUUGGGGCGGUCUGUAUUCCAAAGCGAGAGGUGAAAUUCUUAGACCUUCGGAAGACAAACAGCUGCGAAAGCGUUCCGCAAGGAUGUUCCCUUUGAUCAAGAACGAAAGUUGAGGGAUCGAAGACGAUCAGAUACCGUCGUAGUCUCAACUAUAAACUAUACCAGCUAGGGAUCGGCCAACGUUAUUUAAACCGACUUGGUCGGCACCUUAUGAGAAAUCAAAGCAUCUGGGUUCCGGGGGGAGUAUGGUCGCAAGGCUGAAACUUAAAGGAAUUGACGGAAGGGCACCACCAGCCGUGGAGCCUGUGGCUUAAUUUGACUCAACACGGGAAAACUUACCAGGUCCAGACAUAGUAAGGAUUGACAGAUUGAUAGCUCUUUCUUGAUUCUGUGGGUGGUGGUGCAUGGCCGUUCUUAGUUGGUGGAGUGAUUUGUCUGGUUAAUUCCGUUAACGAACGAGACCCCAGCCUGCUAAAUAGCGCGCGUGAGCUUUGCUCGCGGCGAGCUUCUUAGAGGGACUCUGAUGCGCGAUAGCACAUGGAAGUUUGGGGCAAUAACAGGUCUGUGAUGCCCUUAGAUGUUCUGGGCCGCACACGGGCUACACUGGCGCCUGCAACGAGCAUAUCAGCUGGCCCGAGAGGGUCUUGGCUAAUCUUUUGAACCGGCGCCGUGCUUGGGAUUGACCUUUGCAAUUGUUGGUCAUGCAACGAGGAAUGCCUUGUAAACGCGAGUCAUCAGCUCGCAUUGAAUACGUCCCUGCCCUUUGUACACACCGCCCGUCGCUCCUACCGAUGAAUGUUCCGAUGAAAUUUUCGGAGAGUGCCUGUGAACUUGGCUCUGCCUUGCGAACGGGAAGCUCAAAGUCACUUAAAUCUGAACAUUUCG
RNAcentral lists this ribosomal RNA (1352 nucleotides) under uncultured marine eukaryote. RNAcentral describes it as "SSU rRNA". It matches the Rfam family "Eukaryotic small subunit ribosomal RNA", at positions 411 to 1776 of the family's 1831-position model. The record is from RNAcentral.